This 380-nucleotide ribosomal RNA is filed under the name uncultured Glomus. RNAcentral's name for it is "SSU rRNA". It matches the Rfam family "Eukaryotic small subunit ribosomal RNA", at positions 569 to 952 of the family's 1831-position model. Lineage: Eukaryota; Fungi; Glomeromycota; Glomeromycetes; Glomerales; Glomeraceae. The record is from RNAcentral.
AGCAGCCGCGGUAAUUCCAGCUCCAAUAGCGUAUAUUAAAGUUGUUGCAGUUAAAAAGCUCGUAGUUGAAUUUCGGGGUUAGCAGGUCGGUCGUGCCAUUGGUAUGAACUGGUCUCGCUGAUCCCUCCCUCUUGACGAACUGUGAUGCCAUUAAUUUGGUGUCGCAGGGAAUCAGGACUGUUACUUUGAAAAAUUAGAGUAGUUUAAAGCAGGCUCACGCUUGAAUACAUUAGCAUGGAAUAAUGAAAUAGGACGUUUGAUCCUAUUUUGUUGGCUUCUAGGAUUGACGUAAUGAUUAAUAGGGAUAGUUGGGGGCAUUAGUAUUCAAUUGUCAGAGGUGAAAUUCUUGGAUUUAUUGAAGACUAACUACUUGCGAAAGG